AUUGAACGCUGGCGGCAUGCUUUACACAUGCAAGUCGAACGGCAGCGCGGGCUUCGGCCUGGCGGCGAGUGGCGAACGGGUGAGUAAUGCAUCGGAACGUGCCCAGUUGUGGGGGAUAGCCCGGCGAAAGCCGGAUUAAUACCGCAUACGACCAGAGGGUGAAAGCGGGGGACCGAAAGGCCUCGCGCCAUUGGAGGGGCCGAUGUCGGAUUAGCGAGUUGGUGGGGUAAAGGCUUACCAAGGCGACGAUCCGUAGCUGGUCUGAGAGGACGACCAGCCACACUGGGACUGAGACACGGCCCAGACUCCUACGGGAGGCAGCAGUGGGGAAUUUUGGACAAUGGGGGCAACCCUGAUCCAGCCAUGCCGCGUGGGGGAAGAAGGCCUUCGGGUUGUAAACCGCUUUUGUUCGGAAAGAAAUCCUCUGGGCUAAUACCCCGGGGGGAUGACGGUACCGAAAGAAUAAGCACCGGCUAACUACGUG
This 484-nucleotide ribosomal RNA is filed under the name uncultured bacterium. RNAcentral describes it as "partial 16S ribosomal RNA". It matches the Rfam family "Bacterial small subunit ribosomal RNA", at positions 29 to 507 of the family's 1533-position model. The record is from RNAcentral.